AACGAACGCUUUUCAAAAUUUCUUAUCGAGACAUGUAAUUACAUGUGAUGAAAUUUUACAUUACCGCAGUAUAGACGCGACCACAUGAUCAAUAAUCUGAAAACGACCAUAUCAUUCAGCCUAUCAACCACCACAACUGAUUAGUAUUGAAAUUUCAAUUUGAGGACAGCCAACACUCGACCAGGAUUAUGGACGCGCGGUGAAUGUUGUAUUCCAUAGCUGGUGCACCAUGUUAAACAUGUAUGAGACGCAGGUUAAAAUGUUGAAGAUAAGCUAUCGCGAAUUAUGAAAGCGAAGGGGGCACAAAGGAAACAGAUAUUUUGAAAUAUGUAAUUUUUCAUGAAUGACG
Molecule: unclassified non-coding RNA, 349 nt
Filed under: Bombus terrestris (buff-tailed bumblebee)
Lineage: Eukaryota; Metazoa; Arthropoda; Insecta; Hymenoptera; Apidae
Description: misc RNA ENSBTSG00005030184.1
Source: RNAcentral